GCAGCGGAGCGUGUGGUUUAAUUCGAUGAUACACGAAGAACCUUACCCAGGCUUGACAUGUUGGUGGUAGGGAUCCGAAAGGUGACGACCCUUCGGGAGCCUUCACAGGUGCUGCAUGGCUGUCGUCAGCUCGUGUCGUGAGAUGUCCGGUUAAGUCCGGUAACGAGCGCAACCCUCGCUGUGUGUUAUAUGUGUCACACGGGACUGCCGGUAUCAAGCCGGAGGAAGGUGGGAUGACGUCAAGUCAGCAUGGCCUUUAUGUCUGGGGCUACACACACGCUACAAUGGCCAGUACAAUAGGUUGCAAGACCGCGAGGUGGAGCCAAUCCUUAAAGCUGGUCUCAGUUCGGAUUGCAGGCUGCAACUCGCCUGCCAUGAAGUCGGAGUUGCUAGUAACCGCGCGUCAGCCAUAGUGCGGUGAAUACGUUCCCGGGCCUU
This 438-nucleotide ribosomal RNA is filed under the name uncultured Anaerolineaceae bacterium. RNAcentral's name for it is "bacterial SSU rRNA". It matches the Rfam family "Bacterial small subunit ribosomal RNA", at positions 929 to 1382 of the family's 1533-position model. Lineage: Bacteria; Bacillati; Chloroflexota; Anaerolineae; Anaerolineales; Anaerolineaceae. The record is from RNAcentral.